CCUACGGGAGGCAGCAGUGAGGAAUAUUGGUCAAUGGACGGAAGUCUGAACCAGCCAUGCCGCGUGCAGGAAGACGGCUCUAUGAGUUGUAAACUGCUUUUGUACAAGGGUAAACCUGAAUACGUGUAUUUUUCUGAAAGUAUUGUACGAAUAAGGAUCGGCUCACUCCGUGCCAGCAGCCGCGGUAAUACGGAGGAUCCAAGCGUUAUCCGGAUUUAUUGGGUUUAAAGGGUGCGUAGGCGGAUUGAUAAGUUAGAGGUGAAAUGCCCGGGCUUAACUCGGGAAUUGCCUCUGAUACUGUUGGGCUAGAGAGUAGAUGCGGUAGGCGGAAUGUAUGGUGUAGCGGUGAAAUGCUUAGAGAUCAGACAGAACACCGAGUGCGAAGGCAGCUUACCAAGCUAUAUCUGACGUUGAGGCACGAAAGCGUGGGGAGCAAACAGGAUUAGAUACCCGGGUAGUC
RNAcentral lists this ribosomal RNA (460 nucleotides) under uncultured bacterium. RNAcentral describes it as "partial 16S ribosomal RNA". It matches the Rfam family "Bacterial small subunit ribosomal RNA", at positions 338 to 795 of the family's 1533-position model. The record is from RNAcentral.